Molecule: ribosomal RNA, 460 nt
Filed under: uncultured bacterium
Lineage: Bacteria
Description: partial 16S ribosomal RNA
Rfam family: Bacterial small subunit ribosomal RNA
Source: RNAcentral
CCUACGGGGGGCUGCAGUGAGGAAUAUUGGUCAAUGGCCGUAAGGCUGAACCAGCCAAGUAGCGUGAGGGAAGACUGCCCUAUGGGUUGUAAACCUCUUUUAUGCGGGGAUAAAGGUUUCCACGUGUGGAUGUUUGCAGGUACCUCAUGAAUAAGGACCGGCUAAUUCCGUGCCAGCAGCCGCGGUAAUACGGAAGGUCCGGGCGUUAUCCGGAUUUAUUGGGUUUAAAGGGAGCGUAGGCCGGUCUUUAAGCGGGCCGUGAAAUUUUGUGGCACAACCAUGAGAGUGAGUCGCGAACUGGAGACCGAGAGUGCGCGGAAGGCAGGCAGAAUUCGUGGUGGAGCGGUGAAAUGCUUAGAGAUCACGAAGAACCCCGAUUGCGAAGGCAGCCUGCCGCAGCGUUACUGACGCUGAAGCUCGAAAGCGCGGGUAUCGAACAGGAUUAGAUACCCUUGUAGUC